This 265-nucleotide long non-coding RNA is filed under the name Elaeis guineensis (African oil palm). RNAcentral describes it as "long non-coding RNA (EGUI_LNC056982)". The record is from RNAcentral. Lineage: Eukaryota; Viridiplantae; Streptophyta; Magnoliopsida; Arecales; Arecaceae.
GACACUGAAAUCGUUAUUAAAUCUAAGGAACCUAGGUCUCAUCAAAAAUUCAAGCACAUUCUCAGAUGCUUCUAUCUUGUUAGAGAUAAGAUGUUAUCCUUAAAUGAGUAGACAUAAAGAACAAUAUAGCAGACCCAUUCAUUAAGGUCAUACCAUAGCAGCUAUAUGAUCGUCAUCUUGAUUGUAUGGGAUACAAAAGCGAUUGACUUUAGUGCAAGUGGAAGAUUGAAAGAAGAGUGCCCUAUAAGCUAAUUGUAAGGUUGUU